This 255-nucleotide ribosomal RNA is filed under the name uncultured bacterium. RNAcentral describes it as "partial 16S ribosomal RNA". It matches the Rfam family "Bacterial small subunit ribosomal RNA", at positions 524 to 776 of the family's 1533-position model. The record is from RNAcentral.
UACGAAGGGGGCUAGCGUUGCUCGGAAUGACUGGGCGUAAAGGGCGCGUAGGCGGUUUGGACAGUCAGAUGUGAAAUUCCUGGGCUCAACCUGGGGGGCUGCAUUUGAUACGUUCGGACUAGAGUGGGGAAGAGGGUCGUGGAAUUCCCAGUGUAGAGGUGAAAAUUCGUAGAUAUUGGGAAGAACACCGGUGGCGAAGGCGGCGACCUGGUCCUUGACUGACGCUGAGGCGCGAAAGCGUGGGGAGCAAACAGG